This 73-nucleotide transfer RNA is filed under the name Stegodyphus mimosarum. It matches the Rfam family "tRNA". From Rfam's summary of the family: Transfer RNA (tRNA) molecules are approximately 80 nucleotides in length. Their secondary structure includes four short double-helical elements and three loops (D, anti-codon, and T loops). The record is from Rfam by way of RNAcentral. Lineage: Eukaryota; Metazoa; Arthropoda; Arachnida; Araneae; Eresidae.
GCCUUCGUGGUGUAAUGGUCAGCACACUGAGCCAGUAUUUCAGAGGUCCGUGGUUCGAUUCCUGGCAAAGGCA